RNAcentral lists this ribosomal RNA (449 nucleotides) under Methylobacterium sp. SNMS28. Its description in RNAcentral is "bacterial SSU rRNA". It matches the Rfam family "Bacterial small subunit ribosomal RNA", at positions 939 to 1392 of the family's 1533-position model. The record is from RNAcentral. Lineage: Bacteria; Pseudomonadati; Pseudomonadota; Alphaproteobacteria; Hyphomicrobiales; Methylobacteriaceae.
AUGUGGUUAUUCGAGCACGCGCAGAACCUUACCAUCCUUUGACAUGGCGUGUUACCCACSAKWRAWUKGGGGUCCACUUCGGUGGCGCGCACACAGGUGCUGCAUGGCUGUCGUCAGCUCGUGUCGUGAGAUGUUGGGUUAAGUCCCGCAACGAGCGCAACCCACGUCCUUAGUUGCCAUCAUUCAGUUGGGCACUCUAGGGAGACUGCCGGUGAUAAGCCGCGAGGAAGGUGUGGAUGACGUCAAGUCCUCAUGGCCCUUACGGGAUGGGCUACACACGUGCUACAAUGGCGGUGACAGUGGGACGCGAAGGAGCGAUCUGGAGCAAAUCCCCAAAAGCCGUCUCAGUUCGGAUUGCACUCUGCAACUCGAGUGCAUGAAGGCGGAAUCGCUAGUAAUCGUGGAUCAGCAUGCCACGGUGAAUACGUUCCCGGGCCUUGUACACACCG